Molecule: long non-coding RNA, 599 nt
Organism: Cucurbita maxima (winter squash)
Lineage: Eukaryota; Viridiplantae; Streptophyta; Magnoliopsida; Cucurbitales; Cucurbitaceae
Exons: 2
Source: RefSeq, a predicted model, not a curated record
GCAGGUGGUGUUCUUGAGGUUGAUCUGCUGCUUGCAAUCGGCUGAGUAACUGCAGAGGGUGAGGCAGUAACGGAGGUCUGGACUGGAUCUGGGGUUGUUGCUACAGGAUGGUCUGUUGUGUGUUUGUGUAAAUACUGAUGCAGACUCAGUUUGUGAUGGUUUUGAUUCAGUUGAUGAGAGAAAUGGAGCUGGGGUACUGUGUGAUCUCUUCUGGUAUCAGCUGGUGUUAGAUGUGUAUGAUCAGAAUUAGGCAGUUUGGUUGAAGAUUCCGUAUUUGAUUGAUAGCACAAAGGGGAAGGAGUUCCUAUUUCCUCAUCUUCACCUCUCAUCUCCAUUAUAUCUGAUCUCCAAAAAUAGCUGAAGUUUGCUUUUGUUCCUGUUCUACCGUCAACUUUCAACAGUUCUCUGCUCCUUCUUUCUUGGUAACUUUGUUUUUCUACCAAUCCCUACAUAUUAAUGAUACAAUUGCUUAUGAUUUGUUCAUCUUGUAUGAGUAAGUUUUCAGCUAAGUUUAGUCUUGAUUAUUUUUCAAACUCUCCGUCUCAUUAAAUAAGUUUAAAUAGAUUCAAAGUUUAGGAGAAAAACUGAAGCUUUGUCAG